CGGCUACAGAGGGAUAGAGAGAAUCACAAGACUGCACACUAGACCCGCGAGCUCAAAAAUAAUCGAAAACUACAAAAAUGAACCAAAACAUGAAAUGAGCGACAACAAAGAGAACCAUUUAAGCGCUCGAAAUAUGAUGAAUGUUUUUUACUGACUGGAGUUGACAACAGCAUCUUAAGCCAAUUGUUUCAGUGGAAUGAGCGGUCCUCGAUGCCUGAACAGUUGGAUCGGUGGGCAAAUGACGGUCUGAGAAGCGCGGUGUCUGCUGAGCAAAACCGAGUGUUUUCACUCAGCUUCGACAUUAUCAAACAAAGGGAGACUCAUUUUACGGAUGUAUAAAGACUUGAUAUUGUAAAACUAAUUUGCACGAUUGUUUCAAAGUCGUCUACCGAGGAGUAGCAUUUGGAACAAGAGGAUUCAUAUGCCCAGAUGAAUUUCAUAUUUUUACAUUGGAUGUAAGCCCACGGCGCGCCUCGGACACGGAUUUGUGAAGUAGCCUAUUUUCUCUUGACAAUUUUAAGAUUACACAAAAUAUUGAUAUUUUGUAUCGGUUUGCUGACAGUGAGCACAAAUGUUAAUACUUAGCUAAAUCAACUAUCUAUGUGGUUUCUUUACUGUAUUAUCCUACCCUUGCUAACAGAACAUGAGAUCUAAAGAAACAGCUCACAUUUAGAUAACGGAGAGAAGUUGUGAUUUCCCCCCCAUCUAAAUCCAGAUAAACUGUUGUUUUUUACCAUCAAAAACGGGACAGUAAACCAAAGACGUCUAUGUACUAAAGGAUCGCACAGCUCUGUCUAGCUUUGCGAAAUAGUUUUCAAUUUAUAUAUAAGAAGUGAAUUACCUCAUCAUUUAUUGAACCCGAAAAGUCAACAACACCGCUUUGAAUCCAAAGGAAACAAAUAUAUUUUUUUGUUUGACUGUAAAAGUGUCGAAUUUAUCUUUUUUUUCCUCCUCUCUCUCUCUCUCAAUACCUUUCAUUAUCAGAGAGAAGGAAUAACACCUUAAUGAAUUGUGUUCAAUAUCUCCGAAGGCUUUAUCCUUUCUUCCAAAUAAUGAGGAUCGGGGCGUUAUAAUCGUCAUUAUUUGGUCUGGAUUAUUUUCGCUGCAAUUACCUGAACCUGAACCCGACCUUCACAAAGUAGCACAGAACAGAAGGUUGGAACGAUGCCCGAUUCACCUGCUGAUGUCAAAACCCAGCCCAGGUUGACUCCGCCCACAAUGCCACCUCCACCCCCGGCCGUCAGCCAGGCACCCAAUCGCAACGCUUCAUUCACACCCACCACCAGUGUUUUGUGCAGCAUUGGGCCGGACAGGAUGUGAACAGAAUAGUGAGCUGGUAGGAGUGCUGCAUCAGCUCUUCUCUGUCAUUGGCACGGCUCUACCUCUGCGGCUGUUAGGAAGGGAACCUGCCUGGGCUUCAGGGAAACGGGCUGCUACAGGCUGCUGAUGGGCUUCAUAGGCCUGGCUGUGUGUUUCUGAUGAUACUGUAGCUUCAACAUGAUGAAGACUAGACUUCAGUCAGUUGUGUGUGUAGAAUUCCCUGGUGGAUCAAGUGUCUUGGAGUAUGUGUGAGAAUGGCUG
Long non-coding RNA from Oncorhynchus tshawytscha (Chinook salmon), 1581 nucleotides. The record is from Ensembl. Lineage: Eukaryota; Metazoa; Chordata; Actinopteri; Salmoniformes; Salmonidae.